AACGAACGCUGGCGGCAGGCUUAACACAUGCCAGUCGAACGGAUCCUUCGGGAUUAGUGGCAGACGGGUGAGUAACGCGUGGGAACGUACCCUUUGCUACGGAAUAACUCAGGGAAACUUGAGCUAAUACCACAUGUGCCCUACGGGGGAAAGAUUUACCGGCAAAGGAUCGGCCCGCGUUGGAUUAGCUAGUUGGUGGGGUAAUGGCCUACCAAGGCGUCGAUCCAUAGCUGGUCUGAGAGGAUGACCAGCCACACUGGGACUGAGACACGGCCCAGACUCCUACGGGAGGCAGCAGUGGAGAAUAUUGGACAAUGGGCGCAAGCCUGAUCCAGCCAUGCCGCGUGAGUGAUGAAGGUCUUAGGAUUGUAAAGCUCUUUCACCGGUGAAGAUAAUGACGGUAGCCGGAGAAGAAGCCCCGGCUAACUUCGUG
Molecule: ribosomal RNA, 433 nt
Filed under: uncultured bacterium
Lineage: Bacteria
Description: partial 16S ribosomal RNA
Rfam family: Bacterial small subunit ribosomal RNA
Source: RNAcentral